This 406-nucleotide ribosomal RNA is filed under the name uncultured bacterium. RNAcentral's name for it is "partial 16S ribosomal RNA". It matches the Rfam family "Bacterial small subunit ribosomal RNA", at positions 29 to 526 of the family's 1533-position model. The record is from RNAcentral.
AUUGAACGCUGGCGGCAGGCCUAACACAUGCAAGUCGAGCGAGCGGCGGACGGGUGAGUAAUGUCUGGGAAACUGCCUGAUGGAGGGGGAUAACUACUGGAAACGGUAGCUAAUACCGCAUACCAUCAGAUGUGCCCCGAUGGGAUUAGCUCGUAGGUGGGGUAACGGCUCACCGAGGCGACGAUCCCUAGCUGGUCUGAGAGGAUGACCAGCCACACGUGAACUGAGACACGGUCCAGACUCCUACGGGAGGCAGCAGUGGGGAAUAUUGCACAAUGGGCGCAAGCCUGAUGCAGCCAUGCCGCGUGUGUGAAGAAGGCCUUCGGGUUGUAAAGCACGUUCAGCGGGGAGGCGUUACCCGAAGAAGAAGCACCGGCUAACUCCGUGCCAGCAGCCGCGGUAAUAG